AUGGCAAAAGCACCAAUGGACAAGCUUCUACUCUCCCACAUUCACGUAGCGAUAUUAGCUGCCCUUCUCUUGCUCACCCAUGGAAAGGGGUUUAUAGAAUCAUCAUCAUCAUCAUCAUCAUCAUGUUGCCAUCUAAACGAUACAGUCACCGGCUGUAUCGCCCACGAGAGAUCCGCGCUUGUCGGCUUCAAAGCAGGCCUCUUGGACCCUGCGAACCUCCUUUCAUCGUGGAAGGGUGAUGACUGCUGCAAAUGGAAGGGUGUCUACUGUAGCAGCAGAAACAACCACGUUGUCAAGCUCGAUCUCCCGGGCCAUGGUUGCGACCAUAAUGACGAUACGAUGACGCAAGUGCUGGGAGGCAACAUCAGCUCCUCGUUGCUUGGUUUGCAACAACUAAAGUAUCUCAACCUCAGCUGCAAUGGGUUCGAUGGGGUGCAAAUACCAAAGUUCAUAGGUUCUCUCCACAAGUUGAGAUACAUCGACCUAUCUAUGUCAAUGUUCACGGGAAGGAUACCACCGCAGCUGGGAAAUCUCUCCAGCCUACGGUACUUAAAUCUCGCUUCUAAUACAUACUCCAAUGGUAUCACCUGGCUGUCACGGUUAACUUCCCUUGAGCACCUAGACCUGACCUUUGUGGACCUCAGUACAGUUGUGCACUGGCUUCCGGUGAUGAACAUGCUUCCAUCUCUGAAAGUUCUUUACCUCCGCAAUUGUUUCCUUAGAACUAGCUCUGGAUUACUUCAGCUUUCAAAUCUGACAUCUCUUGAAAGACUAGACCUUUCUGCCAAUAACUUCCGUACAUAUAUCACACCCAACUGGUUUUAG
RNAcentral lists this ribosomal RNA (825 nucleotides) under Triticum aestivum (bread wheat). RNAcentral's name for it is "partial small subunit ribosomal RNA". Lineage: Eukaryota; Viridiplantae; Streptophyta; Magnoliopsida; Poales; Poaceae. The record is from RNAcentral.